UACGGAGGAUCCAAGCGUUAUCCGGAUUUACUGGGUUUAAAGGGUGCGUAGGCUGCAAUAUAAGUCAGUGGUGAAAUCCCGUAGCUUAACUACGGAACUGCCGUUGAUACUGUAUAGCUUGAGUUCAAAUGAAGUGGGCGGAAUGUGUCAUGUAGCGGUGAAAUGCUUAGAUAUGCCACAGAACACCGAUAGCGAAGGCAGCUCACUAAUCUGCGACUGACGCUGAAGCACGAAAGCGUGGGUAUCAAACAGGAUUAGAUACCCUGGUAGUCCACGCUGUAAACGAUGAUAACUCGAUGUUUGCAUUUAUGUAAGCGUCUAAGUGAAAACACUAAGUUAUCCACCUGGGGAGUACGAUCGCAAGAUUGAA
Molecule: ribosomal RNA, 370 nt
Filed under: uncultured bacterium
Lineage: Bacteria
Description: bacterial SSU rRNA
Rfam family: Bacterial small subunit ribosomal RNA
Source: RNAcentral